GUCAGAACUGCUGCUUAAAUACCAAAUAUUUUACAAAUCAUUGCUGGACAAUUUUAAUUAAAAUGUGUAUUUAAAAACAGCAUAGGUUUGAUGCUCACUCCUAGUUUCCCUCAGUUGUUGUGCUGUGGAUUCAACACUUAAAGGACUCAUGUUAUUCACUCAUUAAGUUUUUAAUCCGUUCAAUAUCUCUGACAAAUGUCGUCAGUAAAACGUCAAUGCCAUUGUGUAUACACAAUUCGAACAGAAUCAGUCAGACUGCUGGGAUGAGGUUAAAUCCUACAGGAGACAUGAUGACUUUUUGUUGAUUGAAAGUUGACUGAAUGCUUCCUAAGUAGGACUUGGAAAUUAUUAAAUAUUGUGCAUUAUACCUUUUUAUAUAGGUUUUUUAGAAUAGAAUUCCUGGAUCCAUAUAUUAUAUCCAAAAUACUUAAUAACAGUUUUAUUUUACUGUACUGUAUGAUUACUGUAUUAGGAAAACACUAACAACCAUAUGACUCACUAUAGGAUUUUUAAUAUUCUAGUAUAUAUUUUUGAUUGCUAUAAAUAAAAUGUAUAUCAAAUAUUAAUUUGGCCCAUAUUGCCCAGCCUAUAAAGUAGCACAAAAUAUACAUCAAACAUUUCUGGCUAGCUGACAUUAGCAGACAUUUACUUGCUUUGUUCAAAUCACCAAUUAAGACAGUGAAUGUCCUUGUUAGUAUUUUGUUUGAGAAAUAAAAUAUUUUCCCACAUACAGUACAGGCCAAAAGUUUGGACACACCUUCUCAUUCAAUGCCUUUUCUUUAUUUUCUUGACUAUUUACAUUGUAGAUUCUCACUGAAGGCAUCGCAACUAUGAAUGAACACAUAUGGAAUUAUGUACUUAACAAAAAAGUGUGUAUUUUAUAUUCCUCAAAGUCGCCAUCCUUUGCUUUUUUGAUAGCGCUGCAAACCCUUGGUGUUCUCUCAAUGAGCUUCAUAAGGUAGUCACCUGAAAUGGUUUUCACUUCACAGGUGUGCCUUGUCAGGGUUAAUUAGUGGAAUUUUUUCCCUUAUUAAUGGGGUUUGGACCAUCAGUUGUCUUGUGCAGAAGUCAGGUUGAUACACAGCCGACAGCCCUAUUAGACAACUGUUAGGAAUCAUAUUAUGGCAAGAACCAAUCAGCUAAGUAAAGGGGAAACGAGUGGCCAUCAUUACUUUAACAAAUGAAGGUCAUUCAGUCUGGAAAACUUUGAAUGUGUCCCCAAGUGCAAUCGCAAAAACCAUCAAGCGCUACAAUGAAACUGGCUCACGUGAGGACUGCCCCAGGAAAGGAAGACCAAGAGUCACCUCUGCUGCUGAGGAUAAGUUCAUCCGAGUCAUCAGCCAGCCAGCUCAGAUUAGAGACCAGCUGAAUGCCACACAGAGUUCUAGCAGCAGACACAUCUCUAGAACAACUGUUAAGAGGAGACUGCGCGAAUCAGGCCUUCAUGGUUAAGUAGCUGCUAGGAAACCACUGCUAAGGAGAGGCAACAAGCAGAAGAGAUUUGUUUGGGCCAAGAAACACAAGGAAUGGACAUUAGACCAGUGGAAAUCUGUGCUUUGGUCUGACGAGUCCAAUUUGAGAUCUUUGGUUCCAACCGCCGUGUCUUUGUGCGACGCAGAAAAGGUGAACGGAUGGAUUCUACAUGCCUGGUUCCCACUGUGAAGCAUGGAGGAGGUGUGAUGGUGUGGGGGUGCUUUGCUGGUGACACUGUUGGGGAUUUAUUCAAAAUUGAAGGCCAAUGACCCCAAACACACCUCCAGGCUGUGUAAGGGCUAUUUGACCAAGAAGGAGAGUGAUGGAGUGUUGCGCCAGAUGACCUGGUCUCCACAGUCACCAGACCUGAACCCAAUCGAGUUGGUUUGGGGUGAGCUGGACCGCAGAGUGAAGGCAAAAGGGCCAACAAGUGCUAAGCAUCUCUGGGAACUCCUUCAAGACUGUUAAACUAUUUCAGGUGACUACCUCUUGAAGCUCAUCAAGAGAAUGCCAAGAGUGUGCAAAGCAAUAAUCAGAGCAAAGGGUGGCUACUUUGAAGAAACUAGAAUAUAAGACAUGUUUUCAGUUAUUUCACAGUUUUUUGUUAAGUACAUAAUUCCACAUGUGUUCAUUCAAAGUUUUGAUGCCUUCAGUGAGAAUCUACAAUGUAAAUAGUCAUGAAAAUAAAGGAAACGCAUUGAAUGAGAA
Micropterus salmoides (largemouth bass) is the source of this 2181-nucleotide long non-coding RNA. RefSeq lists it as uncharacterized. The record is from RefSeq and is a predicted model, not a curated record. The transcript is spliced from 2 exons. NCBI's taxonomy places the organism in Eukaryota, Metazoa, Chordata, Actinopteri, Centrarchiformes, Centrarchidae.